Molecule: ribosomal RNA, 864 nt
Filed under: Richtersius cf. coronifer
Lineage: Eukaryota; Metazoa; Tardigrada; Eutardigrada; Parachela; Richtersiusidae
Description: SSU rRNA
Rfam family: Eukaryotic small subunit ribosomal RNA
Source: RNAcentral
ACAAGGCGAAACCGCGAAUGGCUCAUUAAAUCAGUUAUGGUUCACUAGAUCGUACAGUUUACACGGAUAACUGUGGUAAUUCUAGAGCUAAUACGUGCAAUCAGCUCGCUUCCUUGUGAAGCGAGCGCAGUUAUUAGAACAAGACCAAUCCGGCCUUCGGGUCGGUACAAUUGGUGACUCUGAAUAACCGAAGCGGAGCGCAUGGUCUUGUACCGGCGCCAGAUCUUUCAAGUGUCUGACUUAUCAGCUUGUUGUUAGGUUAUGUUCCUAACAAGGCGUUUACGGGUAACGGGGUAUCAGGGUCCGAUACCGGAGAGGGAGCCUGAGAAACGGCUACCACAUCUAAGGAAGGCAGCAGGCGCGCAAAUUACCCACUCCCGGCACGGGGAGGUAGUGACGAAAAAUAACGAUGCGAGAGCUAUAAAGUUUCUCGUAAUCGGAAUGGGUACACUUUAAAUCCUUUAACGAGGAUCUAUUGGAGGGCAAGUCUGGUGCCAGCAGCCGCGGUAAUUCCAGCUCCAAUAGCGUAUAUUAAAGUUGCUGCGGUUAAAAAGCUCGUAGUUGGAUCUGGGUAGCUGGACGGAUGGUAUGCUUUACUGUGUUACUGUCUGUUCGGCACCACAAGCCGGUCAUGUCUUGCAUGCUCUUCACUGAGUGUGCUUGGCGGCCGGAACGUUUACUUUGAAAAAAUUAGAGUGCUCAAAGCAGGCGUACGGCCUUGCAUAAUGGUGCAUGGAAUAAUGGAAUAGGACCUCGGUUCUAUUUUGUUGGUUUUCGGAACUCGAGGUAAUGAUUAAUAGGAACAGACGGGGGCAUUCGUAUUGCGGCGUUAGAGGUGAAAUUCUUGGAUCGUCGCAAGACGAA